Molecule: non-coding RNA, 125 nt
Filed under: Syntrophothermus lipocalidus
Lineage: Bacteria; Bacillati; Bacillota; Clostridia; Eubacteriales; Syntrophomonadaceae
Also listed under: 1 other name
Description: MoCo sequence
Rfam family: Molybdenum/Tungsten riboswitch aptamer (Moco RNA motif)
Source: RNAcentral
UGGAUACUCGGUCUCCGACCCGGUGGUCCUAAGGCGGGUGCCUUGCCGCUAUGGCAACCGGGCGAUAGGGUUUACCUGGAAACGGGUAAGCCUCCCAUAUGGAAAGGAGCCGCUGGUAAACUGAG